UCCGUAUUCAAAAAACAAACAUUUGCCCAUCUCUACUCCUGUCCGUACGGACACUUCGGCCCACCUGUUCAUCAAUUCCAACCAUCUAUGCAGCGAGCGACCCUUGUUUGAAAUUUUCAUUAAUGUUGGAUAUCCCAAUCCCAUAACCAAUUUCCACCAAUUUCAGAACCGUUGGAUUUACGACGAACAGAUGGGAUGGAAGCAGGAUCAAGUCUGUUUGGAGAAGCAUUUUCAGUUUUGCAGUCGCUGUUGCAGGUGUGAUUUCCAUUGGUUGCGAUUCUCCACGGCUUGCAGAGUUUCUCACCAUCACUUCACCUAUUUCUCAAGCUUGUGAGUCAGAAUGGAGCUAAAGCUUGCCAUGGAUGGAGCAGUAGGAUACACAUAUACUGAUGGCUGAUACUCAUUCAAGAGCCUCUCUUCAUUUGGUUUUUUUCGGAAUUAGGAAAAACCUGACAGGUUUGUGUGACCUUAUUAACAGGUUGGAUGACCAAUAAACAUUACCAUGGACGCUAGGAAGUUUUUAAUGGUGGGCCGCACCGUUUCCUGUGGUGUGGUCCAGCUGACCUUAUCAACUGGUUGGAUGGCCGGUAAACAUUACAAUGAAUGGUAGGAAGUUUUUAAUGGUGGGCGUUCAAUGAACACAGUUUCCUGUG
Magnolia sinica is the source of this 653-nucleotide long non-coding RNA. RefSeq lists it as uncharacterized. The record is from RefSeq and is a predicted model, not a curated record. Lineage: Eukaryota; Viridiplantae; Streptophyta; Magnoliopsida; Magnoliales; Magnoliaceae. The transcript has 3 exons.